CUCUUUUUGAUAAUAAUUUAAAGUAGGGCCUGCCCACUGAAAUUUGAAGGGCCGCAGUAUUUUGACUGUGCAAAGGUAGCAUAAUCAUUAGUUUUUUAAUUGAAAGCUUGUAUGAAUGGUUUGAUGAGAAAAUUACUGUUUCAAUUUUAAUUUAUAGAAUUUUAUUUUUAAGUUAAAAAGCUUAAAUAAAUUUUAAAGACGAGAAGACCCUAUAGAGUUUAACUUAAUUAAGAGUUUAAAUUUUUAGAAUUUAUUAUUUUAGAUUUUUAAUAAGUUUUGUUGGGGUGACAAAAAAAUUAAAUUAACUUUUUUUUAAUUAUAACAAUAAUUUUUGAUUUUUUGAUCCAUUAAAAAUGAUUAAAAGAUUAAAUUACCUUAGGGAUAACAGCGUAAUCUUUUUUGAAAGUUCUUAUUGAAAAAGGGGGUUGCGACCUCGAUGUUGGAUUAAAAUUAAUUUUUGGUGUAGAAGCUAAAGAAUUAGGUCUGUUCGACCUUUGAAAUUUUACAUGAUCUGAGUUUAAACCGGUGUGAGCCAGGUUGGUUUCUAUCUUAAAUCUAAAAAAUAUUUUAGUACGAAAGGAUCAAAUAUUUAAUUUAAAAUUUUUAAUAUGAAUAAAAUUUUUAUUUUGGCAGAUUAGUGCAAAGGAUUUAGAAUCUUUUUAUGUAAUGAUAUUACAAAUAAAAAUUGAUUUAAUUUUAAUAUUUUUUAAUUUUUUAAUUUUAUUUAUUGGAGUAUUAGUUGGUGUUGCUUUUUUAACAUUAUUAGAACGUAAAUUAUU
Molecule: ribosomal RNA, 779 nt
Filed under: Epilachna sp. KS138
Lineage: Eukaryota; Metazoa; Arthropoda; Insecta; Coleoptera; Coccinellidae
Description: partial 16S ribosomal RNA
Rfam family: Archaeal large subunit ribosomal RNA (bases 1-575)
Source: RNAcentral